CCAUUCUCCUGCCUCAGCCUCCCGAGUAGCUGGGACUACAGGCGCCCGCCACUGCGCCCGGCUAAUUUUUUGUAUUUUUAGUAGAGAGGGGGUUUCACCGUGGUCUCGAUCUCCUGACCUCGUGAUCCGCCCGCCUCAGCCUCCCAAAGUGCUGGGAUUACAGGCGUGAGCCACCGCGCCCGGCCAGUUCAAUGGAUUUUAAAAAUUAUUAUUCUCUAGAAAAAAGACCACGAACUUUGGAGUGGACAUCCUGAGACCUGCCUACGAAGACCAUUAGGGUAAAGAAGUCACCCCUUCACCCCAGGACCAGGAAGCCUCCAGGAUGGCAUAAGCGACCAAACAGCUGGGAGCCAAGCACAGUGCAGGGGGCUUGGGGUCGGCGGCCGGAGGCUGGGUGGCCUCCAGAAGACACUCCCCUGAUUCCUACACCGAGGGAACACACAGCAGCAAGCUAGGAAAGAAGGGGUGACCCAGCCCAACGCUGUAAACCAGGGCGCGAACCGGCGUUGAGCUGUGCAGCUGCGCCCUGGGCUCCAGUCCUGCUCUGCCGCAGACCCCACCGGAGCCAGCACCUGCCUCCCCGACCCU
Molecule: long non-coding RNA, 588 nt
Filed under: Homo sapiens (human)
Lineage: Eukaryota; Metazoa; Chordata; Mammalia; Primates; Hominidae
Description: non-protein coding RNF144A-AS1:6
Source: RNAcentral